RNA transcript from Bombus pyrosoma, 8648 nucleotides. It is a transcript of the gene named kinesin-like protein KIN-7I, with no coding region annotated. The record is from RefSeq and is a predicted model, not a curated record. NCBI's taxonomy places the organism in Eukaryota, Metazoa, Arthropoda, Insecta, Hymenoptera, Apidae. The transcript has 12 exons.
AACACUUUCGGCCGACAACAGUAGCAGACAUACACAGUCACCAUUAUCGAUAUCGUUUUGCUAAAGAUUCGAUAAGAUCGAAUUGACAAUAGGAUCAGUUGAAGCAGUCGUCAUUUCAAAUGGCAGUUGCGAUGUGCGGAGCGAUAUGUGGAGACGUAAAAAAUUAAUUAAAGACGAAGUAGUCACUCAAAAACAUUCCUUUCAAAAUUUCUAUGCUACUUCGUCCAACAUAUUGAUAAAGAAAAAUGUUAAGCGAUGUUAAGGUGGGAAUCAAAUUGAGGCCUUUGAUUCAACAAGAACAAGAUGAAAAUUUAUCAAUGCAAUGGAUUGUAAAGGGAAAUUCGAUUGUUUCAUUAGAUCAAGAGACAAACAAAUGGAGGGAUAAUGAAUUUCAGUUUGAUUAUAGCUUUGAUGUAAAUACAAGAAAUUCCAAAGUAUUUGAUAGUAUUAUAAAAUCUAUUGUUGAUGCUACUAUAGAUGGUUUCAAUGGAACAAUAUUUUUUUAUGGUCAGUUUCAUUCUGGUAAAACAUACACAGUGACAGGCACUUCGGAAGAUCCAGGCAUAAUACCACUUACUGCUGAAUACAUAUUUAAUGCUAUUUCAAAUAUCAUUCAAUGUGAAUUUUUAUUAAGGGUAUCUUAUUUAGAAAUUCAUGAUGAGAAAAUAAAUGACUUAUUAGAUAAAAACCAAAUUGAUUUAGAAUUAUAUAAAGAUAACAAUGGACAAAUAAUUGUUAAAUGUACAGAAAAAAUUACAAAUUCUUCAGAUGAUAUGUUAUCUAUAAUGAAAGAAGGAAUUAAGAAUAAACAUAUUAGUAGUCAUAGCAUAUUUCAAAUUAUAAUUGAAAGUCAACAAAUUGAAGGAGAUUCAAACAAUAUUGUACGAUUGUCACAAUUAAAUUUGGUAGAUCUUGCUGGUUUUACAAAAGUUCAUUGUACAAAAGGUAUUGAAGAACAUCAAACUGAUAUAUCUCUUUUUACUCUAGAAUCAAUAAUUGCACAAAUAAGUAAGUCACAAAAUGCCCAGGAACAUAUUGAUUAUCAUAAUAGUAAAUUAACAGAAUUACUGCAGUCAUCGUUAAGUGGCAAUGCUUUAAUAGCGGUAAUAUGUACAGUAACACCUGUUGCUUUAGAGGAAACAUAUUACACUCUAUUGUUAGUAUGCUAUUUUUACAAUGCCAUUUAUAACUUUACAUGUACUAGAAUAUUAUUUUUGAUAUUUAGGUUUGCAUCACAUACUAAAAAAAUUAAAACUAAACCACAAAAGAACGAAGUUAUGUUUGAUGCAUCGCUUCUUCAUUAUGCAAAACAAGUGAAAUUAAAGCAAAUAAGAAAUGGAAACUCAUCUAUAGAAGUAGAAGAAGUAGAAUCUAACAAACUACAACAGAAAUGUCGCUUGUUAGAAGAACGUAUAAAAUUAUUAAAGACUCAAACUAUUUCUGGAUAUGAAAAAAAUUGUGAAAAGGCACUUAACUAUAAGUCUAAAAGAAGAGAAAUUUGGUGUAAUCCUGGCAUGAUCAAACCGUAUUUCCCUGUAUUUCAUACUCAAAUUUGCUUACCAACAAUAAAAGAAAUUUCACCUGAGAAACUACAUAAAAAAAACAUUAUGCAAUCAGUUGACAUAAAUGAAACUGACUUUGUAUUUUCAGCAUUUCAGACAGAUCUUGAAUCAGAAGCAAUUGAUUAUGAAGUAGACUAUAAAAUCAAAGUGAAUGAUAAUAUUGGAAAUGAACAUGUUAAAUGCAUGAAAAGUGAUAACUUACUUCUAAUGCCAGAAACACAACAUACUUUGAUACAAACUUCUAGAAAUGAAAUAUGUCCUUCUACACCGAAAAGUAUUUUACGGGAAUGUAUCGUGGACCUGACAACGCAACUUACUGAACUUCGUGAAUUUACAACUUUAGAGAAACAACUAACGUGUGAAGGAAACCAUUGUUGCAAACAUGACAUAGGAGAACAAGCGGAAAUACAGUUUGUUUGUGAUGGUUUUAAAAAUAACAGAAUUGAUAAAUAUUCUCCAAACUAUGUAAUACAAUUAGAAGAAGAGAAAGAUAAAUUGGCAGUAGAGGUAAAGUUAAAAAGUCAAGAAUUGGCUGAAAUAAAGGAUGAUGUUCGAAGCCUUAAAUUAGAUAUAGAAAAAUUUGAAAAAACUAUUUAUUUAUUAACAAAUGAAAAUAUGGAAAUGUCAAAUAAAUUGUCCGUUGAAAACGAACGUUCGAAAGAAGCUGAACUAAAUUUUCAAACAACAGUUACUGAACUUUACACACAGAUUUCGAAAAUUACAGAAGAAAAAAUUAAUUUAGAAGGCGAUAUAACAGUCUUAAAUGAACAAUUAAAAUCAUUUUGUUCAAAAACCGUAGGAGAAUACUAUAAUGAGCAAUUACUAAUUGAACAUCAGAAUAAAAUUGAUGCAUUGAAAACAGAAAAUAUUGAAUUAUCAACUAUUAUUGCAGAUAAAAAUAAAGAACUUGAAAAUGUUAAAGAAAGUAAAUCACUAUUAUAUGACCAUGAUUGUAUUUAUAAGGAUAAAGUUACAUUAUUGACUGAAAAAAAUAAAUGUUUAAUGCAAGAAAAUAAUGAACUUUCCUCUGAUCUGAUAGAUAAAAUUGAGGAAAGUGAUAUAUUGAAAGAACAGUGUGAUAUUUUGAAUAAUAAAAUGAUUUUACUAAAAAACGUAGAUUCCAAAAACGACAUAGAACAAUUAAGAUUGGAAAACAAUAUUUUAAAAGCCAAGAUAGCAGAAUUAAAAAUGAAAAUAACAAUAUUAACUAAUGAAAAUGCAAAGAUUUCCAAUAAUCUAUUAGAAAGUAUGGAGGAUUUUGGUAACCCAUGCAAUGAAAAAGUAAAUAGCAAUUCAUUGCAUUCAUCUAUAGUACCUGAUAAUCCUGAAAAGUCAAAUGAGACUAUGGAGAAAAUAUUACAAGGAGAAAGUUACGAGGAACUGUCAAAUAAAGUUAUAGUAUUACAGGACAAAGUUACUCAUCUAUCUCGUUUAAAUAAAAAAUUAAGUGAUUUAAAAUUAUCAUCCUGUGGUCAAUGUGAACAUUUAAAGAAGAUAAGUGAGAGUCGUAGAGCUUUUAAACUUGAAGCAAAAAUUUUAAAUCACAAAUUGGAAGACUUACAAAAAAAGUUCAAUCAGAAAUGUGAGGAUACUGAAGCAUUAAAACUUAAGGUUAAUCAAGAGUUGAAUGUAAGUUUUACUGAUACAUCAUUGAACACUAGUUUUGUAGAUAGAAUGAAUGUAAGCUUUGUAGAGGAGAAGGUUCAACACUUAAAUAACGAAUUACGGACUUUGAAGCAUGACCACGAUGAACUUUCAGUUUCAUAUAUAAAAAAAUGUGACGAACUUGAAAAGCUUCAUAAUGAAACGAAAAUCGAGCACCUUCAAAAUAAUAUCGAACAAGUAAAAGAAGAUAUAGAUGAAAUAAAGAAAAAUAGUGCACAUUUUGUUUCUAUGCUUAGUAAAUUUAGGAUGCAAAAAGAAAACUUAUUAGACCAAAUCAAUACACUAAGAAGCGAUAAUGAAGCGUUACAACAAAAAGUAGCAGAGAAAGAGAUAUUAGCAGCUGCAGCUACAGAGAAAGCUCAAAUUCUUGAGAAUGAAUUAUCAUGUAUGAAUAAAGAACUCGAACAGUUUUUCGUGAAAGAAAAACUAACGCAGACCGAAAAAAUGACACUAGAAAUACAAUUAGAGGGUUUAAAGGUUGAAAAUGAAAAUAAAGGUAAUCUUAUUACUAAAUUAAAUAGAAUGACUGGUGAUUUGAAUGGAUGUAUAUUAUCACUGAAACAUGAAUUAGAUUUAACAACAAACCAAAAAGAGGAAUUAACUAUAUUAACUGAAAAUAUUAAAUGUAAACAUAAAAAUGAAUUAGAACUUCUAAAAAAGCAAUGUGAUAAAUUAGAACAAGAAAAACAAAAAAGUAUAGAAACAGAAAAACAUGUAACACUGCGAGUAAAUGAAUUAGAGUCAUAUAUAGGAAAGCUUAAAAUAGAUUUGGGAAAACAAAAAAACUUACAUUGUGAGUUAAAUACUAUCAAGGAACGUAUGAUCAAAGAAUUAAAGUCAUUUAAGUUGAAUUCUUUAGAUUUUUUAAAUAAAACCGCAGACGAAAUUUUCAUCAUUUUUUUGCAAACAAUCAUGUUGAAAGAAGAAGAAGUAAUUAAAGAAAUGAGAGAAUUACUCGAAAAAGACAAACUAAAAUUAGAGGAUGAAAAGCGGCAAAGUGCAGAUGCUGAAAAGCGCGCAGUAUUAUGGGCUAAAGAAUUGGAAAUAGAAAAUGAAAAAUUACAUGUUGAUUUAACAAAAACGGAGUGUUUAUGUAUAAAAAAGCAAGAUGAAAUUAACCAAUUAAAACACCUUAUAAAAGAAAGUAAUCAUGAAAAAGAGAUACUUAAAGAAAAAAUGGAAAUGCUAGAAACUGAUUUCAAUAAUUUACAAAGCGAAUUUGACAAACAAUGCAAAGUAGAUAUUCAACAGAAAGGACAAGCAUCUAUUGUUGCACAAAAACGAGAAAAACAAGUACAAGAAGCUCUUAAAUACAAAGAAAUUGAACUUCAGUCUAAUAUGGAAUCUGAAAAGGAACGGUAUGAAAAGAAAAUAGAAGAGUUAGUUUGCACUAUAGAAAUCCAUAAAACAAAAAAUCUAGAAUUGAAAAACAAUAUUGAAGGGCUUGAAGCUAAUGAAAAACAAUUGAAAAAUAUUAUAGAAGCAAAUUCCUCAGAACUGAAAGUAACCAAUCAAGCUAUUUAUAAAAUGACACUUGAUUUUGAACAUCUCACAGAAGCUUAUAACGAAUUAAACCGCGAUGUAAAAGAAAAAGCGUCUCGAAUUGAAAACAUCACAGCACUUUUGAAAAAUAAAUGUGACAUGCUAUCCGAAUAUAAAACUAAAUUCGAAACUAUUAUACCAGAUUAUGAAAUACUACAAAAUCAAGUUAAAGAAAGAAAAGAAAGCAUAGAACGAUAUAAAGAAGAAAUAGAAAGAUUGAAAAUGGAAAAGGAAAAACAAAUUGAAGAAAUCAAAGAUAAAUUAAAUUCAGAAGAAAUAAAAAAUACCGGAUUAAAUAAACAAUUAAACGAAUUAAAUAGCAAAAAUAUUGCUUUGAUAGAAGAAUUAGAUAACUUAAAAGAAGUACAUGACCAAUUGCGACAAGUAAAUGCGAAAUUAGAAAGAAAAAUUAGAAAUAGUACAAGUAAAAUAAAAGCUGAAGCAGACAUGGAAGAAUUAAAGGAUGUAAACAAAAGGUUGCAAAAUAACUUGGAAGGUGCAAGUAACCGUAUAAUUGAACUGCAGGAAAGCAAAAAUAAAACUUUCAAAGAACUAGUUAAUUUAAAAAAUCAAUAUGAAUUACUGUCCCAAGAAAAUGCUGAACUAAAGAAAACUUUAUCAUUACACAAAUCCAGAGAAAAUACUUUAUAUUUAUUUGCAGAAGAUAGUAAAUAUGAUACACUUCUUCAAGAAAAGAAUAAAAUUGCACUACAAUUAGAAGGUAAAAAAUUAUUAUUGUCACAAAAAGACAAAGAGAUUGUAGAAUAUGUAAGUCAAAUCAAUGAUUUGAUUAUUAAAAAAAAAGAACUUGAUAACCAAUUAAAAGAUAAAAUGUACAUUCAGCAAGCUGAAAAUAAAUUGGUUAAAGAAUUAACGAGAAAGUUAACAACUUUAGAAGAAGAAAAUAAAGAAAUGAAAGAUCAACUUAAAACGUUUAAAACAGUGGCACAAACUAAUAUAAAACAGGUAGGAGAUACAAAGUUAGACAAUGAAAAAUUUAUUGAUACUCUGAAAAAAAGGAAUUCGGAAUUACAAAUUAAAUUUAAUGAGUAUCAAACUGAAUUGAAACUAAAAAGCAACAGUAGUGAUUCAACAUCUACUAGUCCAGCUUUUGAAAACAACAGAAGAAGACAUAGCAGGAAUGAGAUAUUUAAUCAAAGAAGACAAUUAGAAGAUGUAAUAAUUGAUACAGAUCCCAGUGAAGAUAGACAAACAUGUCAAGUAUUGAGAAAAAAAAUUCAUGAGUUAGAAUUGCAACUAGUAACAAAACAUGGACAAAUUUCAGCAUUAGAAAUCCAAAUCCAGAGUGAAAAUUUUCCUUAUCUACAAAAAUGUAAGGAAUUGCAGGAACUUUUGCUCACAUCUCGCAAAAAGAAUGCUGAACUUAGCUCUGAGGUAAGAAAACUUCAAAGGACUCUAAACGACAUUAACGCGUGGGAAUGUGACAUAUGUAGACGAUGGCGAAUUAAUAGAAGAGAACAAGCAUGUCAAACAUUUAAUAAUGCGCAACAACUUUUUACAAUAAAUAAUGAAAUAAUUAAGGAUGAUACAAAAGUAACGAAAUUGGAAAAAGAGAAAGCAAUAAUAAAAGAUGUAUGUCGUGCACGAUGCCGACAAAUAAAAGAAUUGGAGGAUAAAGUAAGAGAAUUAGAAGAAGCACAGACAUCACACUUAAAGUGCAUUGAAUUUUUGAAAGAAAGAUCUAAUCAACAACAUACUUCCAUGGUGCACUUCAACAAACAAUUUGACUUGGAAAAAAAUAUGAAACUGUGAGAAGCACAGUUCUUUAAAUAUGCUUUGCUUGAAACUAAACUAUCAAGAUUUUUUUUUUUCUAGUGGUGCUUAACUAUUGGAAUGAAACUAAUAUAAUUUAUUUAUUUAUAUAUGCAAUGGGAUGUACAUGCAUUAUUAUUUAGUGUAAUUAGAACCAAAAUUCAAGUGACAUAGCAAUGAAAGAAAAAGUUUCAGCCAAUGUGUUAAAGCUUGCAAAGUCUUCAAAUUAUAGAAGAAGCAUAUGGAACUCUAAUUAAUAAAAAUAUCUUCCAAGAAUUAUAGCCUAUGAUAUCGUUAAAAAUAUAUGUAGGAAGGCUAUCACUAUUCAAGUAUUACAUUCAUUCCUACUUUGUUAAGUUAAUGUAAAUAGUAACAAUAUUAAAGUAUCUGCAUUUCUGAGAUAUUAUAUUUUUGUACUUUCAUAAAAUAAUGUAAAUACGGAUAAACUAAUUUUUAUAUGUACUCUGACGUAAAAAGUGGCUAUAUUUAUACAUGUCGUAUCAUUCAUGCCAACUUUAUAAUAAAACACAAUCCAUGAUUCUAUAAACUUUCAUAGUAUAAUUGCAUUAAUGUUAAUAUAUAUGGAGUAUCCUAAACUUAAUUGGCCAAACGACAAGGGCUUAAUCUACAGUCAAAAAGAUGAAAAAAAUUUUAUAUAAAAUUUUCCACCAAAUACUUUGUUGCAAAGUUAUAGAGAUAUUGUACACAGUUAUUGAAAAACUCAGUAAAAUUCUCUUUAUAACUUGUACUUUGUAAUUAAUUCCAUUGUUCAUUGAUAGAAAGUUCAUAUCCAAGCACAAUGGCAACAUUUAAAAAUGAGGAGAUUAAAAGUACUACUUAAUCAUUUUUAUUAUAUUACAUAUUAUAUUUUAUAACUAAAAGAGCUGUAAAGAAAGCUGAAAGUUCGUCCAAAGCCGAGAGGCACGGACUAAAUAAAAAUAAUAAUAAUAAUAUAUUUUAUAACUAUUGAUAACAUGGAAUUGUUACCACAUGAUAAAAAGCAUGUAAGUACACUGACACAAUAACACAGUCAACGUUUGUGUGCUAUGAUGAAAAAUUCGUUAUUACCUAUUUCAUGCAUACAAUAUUUGUUUAAAAUAUAACAAAGUAUUUAUUGACAAACUUUAUAUAACAUCUCUUUCUUCUUUUUGCCUGUAGACUAGAAGUUCUCACAGUAUGGUCGUUUAAGUUUGGGGCACUCUGUAUAUAAAAUGUGCCAUAAAUUAAUUAUUGUUCCGAGUUCAAACUUAAAUUAUAUAAUGUAAUUGUGACGUAAAAAAAAGAAAAAAAACAUGUAUGUAAGAUUUAUUACUAUAACAAUUAAAACAGUGAAGAAGUAAUUAAGUUGUACUACAUUAAAUUCAUUCACUAAAAUGUAAACAAAAAAUAUUAAGUGCUAAAAUUAUUUCCCUUUUGUUUGAAAUAUGUGCUCUAACGAAGUCAUUACGAAGUAUCAGAGAAGAAAUGAUCACGCCCGUAAUUCUCUGGUUGUUUCAUGUACAGGUGGUGCACCAUGUGGUCACGUGCUGAAUUUAACUAAAAUUAGCAUACACAAGAACUUAUAAAAUUAGGGAUCUGCCCCGUUUAGUCGUAAUUUAGCAUAUACAAGAAUCUAUGUAUUUAAGCUUAAAGUUAGGGAUUUUGGUUGCACACUAGCAUAGAUAAGAACCUAUUUAAUCAUACGGUUCUACGAAAAAGUUUUGUAGAUUCUUAUCUUAGAAAAAGAGACGAAUUCAACGACCUUGCAUAUGAGGUGAGUUACUUUUGUAAAAUAUUAUAAAUUCGUCAGUUCCUAAAGACUCAGGUGAGCUAGAGUUGAUAGCUACCGGCUAUUAGGUUGCUAUAAACGCUGUAAACAAAUAUUGAAUUUCUUAUCUUCCAUGGUGCUUCUCAAAUUACCAAACAUUACUGAAUUGUGGAAACUCACUUUAGUUAACAUACUUUAGUCGAAUAAAAAUUGUAAGUGUCAAAAAUAUCUAUCAAAUGAGACGUCACAUGUUAAAAUUGGUUAAUUCGUUGAGCCAUAAAUAAAUAAAAACCAUCCAUGGUCGCACUAUUUUCAAUUGUCAAUUAUUCAUGAAAAAUUGAGAAUGCAAAGUCAAAAAU